This 459-nucleotide ribosomal RNA is filed under the name uncultured bacterium. RNAcentral's name for it is "SSU rRNA". It matches the Rfam family "Bacterial small subunit ribosomal RNA", at positions 26 to 518 of the family's 1533-position model. The record is from RNAcentral.
AGAAUCAACGCUGGCGGCGUGCCUAACACAUGCAAGUCGCACGAGAAAGGGUAGCAAUACCUGAGUACAGUGGCGCACGGGUGAGUAACACGUGAAUAAUCUACCUCCGAGUGGGGAAUAACUGAGAGAAAUCUUAGCUAAUACCGCAUAAUACCCACGGGUCAAAGCAGCAAUGCGCUUGGAGAGGAGUUCGCGGCAGAUUAGUUAGUUGGCGGGGUAAUGGCCCACCAAGACGAUGAUCUGUAUCCGGCCUGAGAGGGCGCACGGACACACUGGAACUGAAACACGGUCCAGACUCCUACGGGAGGCAGCAGUGGGGAAUUUUGCGCAAUGGGGGAAACCCUGACGCAGCAACGCCGCGUGGAGGAUGAAGCCCCUUGGGGUGUAAACUCCUUUCGAUCGGGAAGAUAAUGACGGUACCGAUAUAAGAAGCCCGGCUAACUUCGUGCCAGUAGCCGC